GCUGAUCCGGAAUUAACCCUACAGGUCUGCUUCGUAAUGCAAUCUGGCAAAUGGAUGUCACCCAUUACCUAGCCUUUGGUAAUCUUAGGAUGCAACUGCACCAAUAUGAGUGCCCUGUAGAAAUAUUCAUCUGGCUAUGGACGAGUGGGUGAUGAAUGAGUCAAGAGAGGACCUGUAGAUGUAAUGAACUUUCUGUGGUUAUUUUUCUUCAGCCUGUGACAGCCGAUAAGCUCUGGGUUUUGGUACCCCUGCUCCCUUCCUUUGCCUGUGUCAUUUAACCCCCAGCCUACAUUGUUCUUUUCUUUUCCAA
Mus musculus (house mouse) is the source of this 310-nucleotide long non-coding RNA. RefSeq annotates it as predicted gene, 51474. The record is from RefSeq and is a predicted model, not a curated record. NCBI's taxonomy places the organism in Eukaryota, Metazoa, Chordata, Mammalia, Rodentia, Muridae. The transcript has 2 exons.